UGCAUUCACUAUUGUAAGUCGCUCUGGAUAAGAGUGUCUGCUAAAUGACUAAAA
Salmo salar (Atlantic salmon) is the source of this 54-nucleotide non-coding RNA. The record is from Rfam. Lineage: Eukaryota; Metazoa; Chordata; Actinopteri; Salmoniformes; Salmonidae.